GGUUUUAUACAGGGCGUGAAUCAAUCAUGACGCCAUUAUCAUGCUUGUACUUCACUGUUGUUGCCUGUGCAGCACAGAUGCAGGUGUAGUUACGUCAGUGUGGAAGCCACCACAUGGACCUACCGACCGCCAGCCAUCCGUUCAACAGACAUCUCUACUGAACCUCCAGGAAGAUGCCUGCAAGUCGCUCCUUGACUGCCGAUGUCUAUGAGGACUCUGCGCUCGGGUGCAUCCACAUUCCUCAUUCUCCGUUCGCCUUGGCACAGAACCAGGGGGCUGCUGCUCCAGGUUCCAGUAGUGGCCCAGUCGCUAACUUCCUGGGAGGCAUGACCCUCUCUUGCUCCUCUAGGAAAAGAAAGCCUUGAAGUUAAUGGACAGCCCUCCAAGGUCCUUCUGGCUCUGGCCUUCUGGCCUUGCACCCUUCCUCUUUCCUGGCCUUUCCUCUCUCUCCCCACCCGGGCCCUGUAGAACAACGAAGCAGUGAGUGACAGGGGGGCUUGUUCUGAAAAGCUGCUGUGGCUGUGGCAUCGCUGCUGCUCAGGGCCCAGGAGGCUGAGCAGAGGGGUGAAUCUUCUUCCCGCGCAGGAGGCUUGCACAUUCCCCGUUUCCGGACAUGUUUUCCAUCUGACAUUUCCAACAACGGUCCCCACGUGGGUGCUUCCUCAAGGCAGGUCUGUUUUGCACCUUUUGGGAGAAGCAUCUUCCGUGACAAAUGGUCUCAGUUCAGGCAGAUGGCGAUGCGCUGAGUCCCUGGUUGCCGGGCUGUAUGAACACACUUAUUGUCCCCAAAUGUAAAAAUAAUGAACUUACCGCUGUGCCUGGAACGUCGACAAUGUGAACCAGAUUUGAUUUAUUGGAGCCUCGGAGACCGUCCUUAAUGUGUAGCAGAACAUUGCCUUUUAUUUCCAUCCAAAGUGAAUUUCAAUUGACUCACCCCCACCCCCCCACACACACACCCCCGACCCCCACACCCAGAAACCUUGUUUUGAGUUGGUCGCAGUGAUUAGGAAUUUAAAAGUUCUUUCUUUGUUUUUAAGUGGAUAUAUUAGUUAGAAAUUGGCUCAGCUAUGACCAACGAAAGACACUAACCACAGUGGCGAAAACAUGAUGGGGACUUGGUUCUCUCUCCCGCAGCCUGAAGUUGGGAGAUGGUUCAGCCUGGUAGUGACUCCCAAAUGUCCCCAGUGGCCCAGGCACCUUUAUUCUGCUCUGCCAGCUUUACUUCAUGAUCUCUAUCCUUGGGGAUGUCUUCUUACAAAACGGCUGCUGCAGCUCCAAACCUUACGUCUAAGUUCCAGCAGGGAGAGGAAUAGGAGGGCACAUGCCAAUCAAGUCAGCUGAGAGGCCCACGCAACUCCUACUUAAGUAUCAUUGGCUAGAACUUAAUCAAAUGUCUACUCUACCCCCAUCUGUAAGGAAGCCUGGAAGAUACAAAAUUUUGCUGGUAUAUUGACAUUCCCCCCGCCCCACCGCCACCACCAAAAAAAAAAAAAAAAAAAAAAAAAAAAAAUUUCAGGUUCCAUUAGAAAGAAAAAAGGAGAGAAUGAAUUUGUGGUGGGCAAAUUUGGGACUGUUUUUCCUUCUAAUAUUAAUACAUGUUUGUUCUUUUGUUUGUUUUUAAAUCAAGUACUUCUUUUUGUAAAAAACAUUUUUUAUUGAUUUCAGAGAGGAAGGGAGCCGGAGAGAGAGAUAGGAACAUCAAUGAUGAGAGAGAAUCAACUGGCUGCCUCCUGCACGCCCCCUACUGGGGAUCAAGCCCACAACCCAGGCAUGUGUCCUUGACCAGAAUCGAACCCAGGACCCUUCAGUCCACAGGCCAAUGCUCUAUCUGCUGAGCCAAACCAGCUAGGGCUAAAUUAAUACAUGUUUGUAAGGGUAAACUUGAAAACUAUAAAAAAGAAAAGAAAGAAAUGAUGAUUUUAACUACCCCAAUAGCAUUUAGUGUAAUUACAUGCUUGUUUUGCUUAAUAUUCAUAAAUAUUUUUCUGAUUACAAAAGGAUUUCCUACUCAUUGGAGGAAACUUUGAGCAAAGUGUAGAGAAGAAAACAGGAAUCACCCACAAUAGCAUUACCCAGAGAUGGUCACUGUGCUAUUUUGUUGCAUUUUUGCCAAUUGUAUGUAUAUUUUACAUAUGAAUAACUAUAGUGUAUGUACUAGUAUACACUGGUACUUUUUUUCACUUUCUAAAUAAAAUAAGUGUAUUGACAUAU
Molecule: long non-coding RNA, 2211 nt
Organism: Myotis daubentonii (Daubenton's bat)
Lineage: Eukaryota; Metazoa; Chordata; Mammalia; Chiroptera; Vespertilionidae
Exons: 2
Source: RefSeq, a predicted model, not a curated record